GAGUCAGCCAAUGAAUCUGCUUCCCUGAAAGUGUUUCUGCAGAAAUUUUUAAAAAGCUGGUAAUAGUAAAGUCAUGUUAUGAGCCUUAAGGACAGUGAAGUUGUUAAGGUCCCUGAAAAUGGCUAUAACA
Molecule: small nucleolar RNA, 130 nt
Filed under: Prolemur simus (greater bamboo lemur)
Lineage: Eukaryota; Metazoa; Chordata; Mammalia; Primates; Lemuridae
Description: Small nucleolar RNA SNORA33 (ENSPSMG00000014977.1)
Rfam family: Small nucleolar RNA SNORA33
About the family: ACA33 is a member of the H/ACA class of snoRNA that guide the sites of modification of uridines to pseudouridines.
Source: Rfam by way of RNAcentral